CAAGUUUUUAAGGGCGCACGGUGGAUGCCUUGGCACCAGGAACCGAUGAAGGACGUGGGAGGCCGCGAUAGGCCCCGGGGAGCUGUCAACCGAGCUGUGAUCCGGGGGUGUCCGAAUGGGGAAACCCGGCAGUCGUCAUGGGCUGUCACCCAUACCUGAACACAUAGGGUGUGUGGAGGGAACGCGGGGAAGUGAAACAUCUCAGUACCCGCAGGAAGAGAAAACAACCGUGAUUCCGGGAGUAGUGGCGAGCGAAACUGGAUGAGGCUAAACCGUAUGUGUGUGAUACCCGGCAGGGGUUGCGCAUGCGGGGUUGUGGGAGCGAGCUUCGGUCGUCUGCCGGCGGCUGGGUGAGUCAGAAACCAUUGCGAUAGGCGAAGGGCAUGCGAAAGGCCCGGCGUAGAGGGUAAGACCCCCGUAGCUGAAAUCGUGGUGGCUUGCUUGCUUGUUUCCCAAGUAGCACGGGGCCCGAGAAAUCCCGUGUGAAUCUGGCGGGACCACCCGCUAAGCCUAAAUAUUCCCUGGUGACCGAUAGCGGAUAGUACCGUGAGGGAAUGGUGAAAAGUACCGCGGGAGCGGAGUGAAAUAGUACCUGAAACCGUGUGCCUACAAGCCGUGGGAGCGUCGGGCAUCAGCUUGCUGGUGUCUCGUGACUGCGUGCCUUUUGAAGAAUGAGCCUGCGAGUUUGCGGUGUGUUGCGAGGUUAACCCGUGUGGGGAAGCCGUAGCGAAAGCGAGUCCGAAUAGGGCGGUGUAGUAGCGCGCUCAAGACCCGAAGCGGAGUGAUCUAGCCAUGGGCAGGUUGAAGCGGAGGUAAGACUUCGUGGAGGACCGAACCCACCAGGGUUGAAAACCUGGGGGAUGACCUGUGGUUAGGGGUGAAAGGCCAAUCAAACUCCGUGAUAGCUGGUUCUCCCCGAAAUGCAUUUAGGUGCAGCGUCGUGUGUUUCUUGCCGGAGGUAGAGCACUGGAUAGGCGAUGGGCCCUACCGGGUUACUGACCUUAGCCAAACUCCGAAUGCCGGUAAGUGAGAGCGCGGCAGUGAGACUGUGGGGGAUAAGCUCCAUGGUCGAGAGGGAAACAGCCCAGAGCAUCGACUAAGGCCCCUAAGCGUACGCUAAGUGGGAAAGGAUGUGGAGUCGCAGAGACAACCAGGAGGUUGGCUUAGAAGCAGCCAUCCUUGAAAGAGUGCGUAAUAGCUCACUGGUCAAGUGAUUCCGCGCCGACAAUGUAGCGGGGCUCAAGCGUACCGCCGAAGUCGUGUCAUUGCAGCAUGAGACCUAACGGUUGUUGUGAUGGGUAGGGGAGCGUCGUGUGCCGGGUGAAGCAGCACCGGAAGGUAGUUGUGGAUGGUUCACGAGUGAGAAUGCAGGCAUGAGUAGCGAUUCACACGUGGGAAACGUGUGCGCCGAUUGACUAAGGGUUCCUGGGUCAAGCUGAUCUGCCCAGGGUAAGUCGGGACCUAAGGCGAGGCCGACAGGCGUAGUCGAUGGACAACCGGUUGAUAUUCCGGUACCCGCUUUGAAGCGCCAGCGCUGAACCAGGCGAUGCUAAGUCCGUGAAGCCGCCCUGGAUCCUUCGGGUGAAGGGGAGUGGUGGAGCCGACGGUCCAGACCUGUAGUAGGUGAGUGAUGGGGUGACGCAGGAAGGUAGUCCAGCCCGGGCGGUGGUUGUCCCGGGGUAAGGGUGUAGCCCGAGGGGUAGGUAAAUCCGUCUCUCAUAUAAGGGUGAGACCUGAUGCCGAGCCGAUUGUGGUGAAGUGGAUGAUCCUAUGCUGUCGAGAAAAGCCUCUAGCGAGUUUCAUGGCGGCCCGUACCCUAAACCGACUCAGGUGGUCAGGUAGAGAAUACCGAGGCGUUCGGGUGAACUAUGGUUAAGGAACUCGGCAAAAUGCCCCCGUAACUUCGGGAGAAGGGGGGCCAUUGCUGGUGAUCACCCUUGCGGUGUGAGCUGGUGGUGGCCGCAGAGACCAGCGAGAAGCGACUGUUUACUAAAAACACAGGUCCGUGCGAAGCCGUAAGGCGAUGUAUACGGACUGACGCCUGCCCGGUGCUGGAACGUUAAGGGGACCGGUUAGUCACAUUUCGGUGUGGCGAAGCUGAGAACUUAAGCGCCAGUAAACGGCGGUGGUAACUAUAACCAUCCUAAGGUAGCGAAAUUCCUUGUCGGGUAAGUUCCGACCUGCACGAAUGGCGUAACGACUUCUCGACUGUCUCAACCAUAGGCCCGGUGAAAUUGCAUUACGAGUAAAGAUGCUCGUUUCGCGCAGCAGGACGGAAAGACCCCGGGACCUUUACUACAGCUUGAUAUUGGUGUUCGGUUCGGCUUGUGUAGGAUAGGUGGGAGACUGUGAAGCCGCAACGCCAGUUGUGGUGGAGUCGUUGUUGAAAUACCACUCUGGUCGUGCUGGAUGUCUAACCUGGGUCCGUGAUCCGGAUCAGGGACAGUGUCUGGUGGGUAGUUUAACUGGGGCGGUUGCCUCCUAAAGGGUAACGGAGGCGCCCAAAGGUUCCCUCAGCCUGGUUGGCAAUCAGGUGUUGAGUGUAAGUGCACAAGGGAGCUUGACUGUGAGACUGACGGGUCGAGCAGGGACGAAAGUCGGGACUAGUGAUCCGGCGGUGGCUUGUGGAAGCGCCGUCGCUCAACGGAUAAAAGGUACCCCGGGGAUAACAGGCUGAUCUUCCCCAAGAGUCCAUAUCGACGGGAUGGUUUGGCACCUCGAUGUCGGCUCGUCGCAUCCUGGGGCUGGAGUCGGUCCCAAGGGUUGGGCUGUUCGCCCAUUAAAGCGGUACGCGAGCUGGGUUUAGAACGUCGUGAGACAGUUCGGUCCCUAUCCGCUGUGCGCGUAGGAGUCUUGAGAAGGGCUGUCCCUAGUACGAGAGGACCGGGACGGACGAACCUCUGGUGUGCCAGUUGUUCUGCCAAGGGCAUGGCUGGUUGGCUACGUUCGGGAGGGAUAACCGCUGAAAGCAUCUAAGCGGGAAGCCUGCUUCGAGAUGAGGGCUCCCACCUCCUUGAGGGGUUAAGGCUCCCAGUAGACGACUGGGUUGAUAGGCCAGAUAUGGAAGCCGGGUGACCGGUGGAGUUGACUGGUACUAAUAGGCCGAGGGCUUGUCC
Molecule: ribosomal RNA, 3116 nt
Filed under: Streptomyces hygroscopicus subsp. sporocinereus
Lineage: Bacteria; Bacillati; Actinomycetota; Actinomycetes; Kitasatosporales; Streptomycetaceae
Description: 23S ribosomal RNA
Rfam family: Bacterial large subunit ribosomal RNA
Source: RNAcentral